RNAcentral lists this ribosomal RNA (492 nucleotides) under Helconinae sp. EGC-2017. RNAcentral describes it as "eukaryotic LSU rRNA". It matches the Rfam family "Eukaryotic large subunit ribosomal RNA", at positions 386 to 736 of the family's 3401-position model. Lineage: Eukaryota; Metazoa; Arthropoda; Insecta; Hymenoptera; Braconidae. The record is from RNAcentral.
CCUGAGAAACCCAAAAGAUCGAAUGGGGAGAUUCAACGUCAGCGCAUUUGGUAUAUGUGCAAGUUAUGAUGUUGGCACGUGCUUGUAUCAUUUAAUUGCCGGAUGUCGUCGGCGUGCACCUUCUCCCCUAGUAGGACGUCGCGACCCGUUGGGUGUCGGUUUACGGCCCGAACUUUGAUGUAUUAAAGACCAUCGGUAUUAAAGACCAUCGGUGUUUUCUGACCGGCUGCCCGGCGGGGUAUUGAGCCGCAUUAUUUUUGCGUCAUUGCGUCAAACCCGCCGCAAGCGAGGCCAGCCCGGUAGUGCGGACCUAGUGCCGUCGCUGGGGCGGUGUUCUUUGACUGGCUCAUUAUGAUAAUAUAAUUACCGGUCGGCGACGCUACUGCUUUGGGUACUUUCAGGACCCGUCUUGAAACACGGACCAAGGAGUCUAACAUGUGCGCGAGUCAUUGGGAUUUAAAACCUAAAGGCGCAAUGAAAGUAAAGGUCGUC